GACGAACGCUGGCGGCGUGCCUAAUACAUGCAAGUAGAACGCUGAAGGAGGAGCUUGCUCUUCUGGAUGAGUUGCGAACGGGUGAGUAACGCGUAGGUAACCUGCCUGGUAGCGGGGGAUAACUAUUGGAAACGAUAGCUAAUACCGCAUAAAAUUGAUUAUUGCAUGAUAGUCAAUUAAAAGGUGCAAUUGCAUCACUACCAGAUGGACCUGCGUUGUAUUAGCUAGUUGGUGAGGUAACGGCUCACCAAGGCAACGAUACAUAGCCGACCUGAGAGGGUGAACGGCCACACCUGGACUGGGGCACGGGUCAGACUCCUACGGGAGGCAGCAGUAGGGAAUCUUCGGCAAUGGGCGGAAGUCUGACCGAACAACGCCGCGGGAGGGAAGAAGGUUUUCGGAUCGUAAAGCUCUGUUGUAAGAGAAGAACGAGUGGGAGGGUGAAAAGUUCACACUGUGACGGUAUCUUACCAGAAAGCAACGGCUAACUACGUG
Molecule: ribosomal RNA, 495 nt
Filed under: uncultured bacterium
Lineage: Bacteria
Description: partial 16S ribosomal RNA
Rfam family: Bacterial small subunit ribosomal RNA
Source: RNAcentral